This 250-nucleotide long non-coding RNA is filed under the name Equus caballus (horse). Its description in RNAcentral is "lncRNA (ENSECAG00000058855.1)". The record is from RNAcentral. Lineage: Eukaryota; Metazoa; Chordata; Mammalia; Perissodactyla; Equidae.
CCCGUCUGGAGAUUCUGGGGACAUCUCAAACUUUUUAUGGGAACGUGUCGUCUUGUGUGUGUGAGCUCCCCGACCUCUACCCCAGGCUUUACAGCUUCUUUUUCAGGAGGGUUGUGCAACCAUCACCACACUCUAAUUUCAGAACAUUUUCAUCUCCCCUGAAGGAACCCUGCGCCUCUCCACUCCCCUGCAACCACUGGGCUACUUCCUGUCUCUCUAGUUUGGCCUUUUCUGGACAUUUGAAAUAAUA